RNAcentral lists this ribosomal RNA (253 nucleotides) under uncultured bacterium. Its description in RNAcentral is "partial 16S ribosomal RNA". It matches the Rfam family "Bacterial small subunit ribosomal RNA", at positions 524 to 776 of the family's 1533-position model. The record is from RNAcentral.
UACAGAGGUGGCAAGCGUUGUUCGGAAUUACUGGGCGUAAAGGGCGCGUAGGCGGCCUUCUAAGUCAGACGUGAAAUCCCCCGGCUUAACCUGGGAACUGCGUCUGAUACUGGGAGGCUCGAGUAUGGGAGAGGGAUGUAGAAUUCCAGGUGUAGCGGUGAAAUGCGUAGAUAUCUGGAGGAAUACCGGUGGCGAAGGCGGCAUCCUGGACCAUUACUGACGCUGAGGCGCGAAAGCGUGGGGAGCAAACAGG